CCUGCCCACUGAAAUUUUUGAAGGGCCGCGGUAUUUUGACUGUGCAAAGGUAGCAUAAUCAUUAGUCUUUUAAUUGGAGGCUUGUAUGAAUGGUUGGAUGAGGUAUUAACUGUCUCAAUUUAAUAAAUAAAAGAAUUUUAUUUUUAAGUUAAAAAGCUUAAAUUUUAUUAAAAGACGAGAAGACCCUAUAGAUCUUUAUAAUUAAAUUUAUAAUAAUUUUUUAGAUUAAUUUUAUUUUUAUAAGUAUAAUUAUUAUAUUGGGGUGAUAAAAAAAUUUAUAAAACUUUUUUUGUAAAUUAACAAUAAUAUUUGGUUAAUUGAUCCAUUUUUUGUGAUUAUAAGAUUAAGUUACCUUAGGGAUAACAGCGUAAUUUUUUUGGAGAGUUCUUAUCGAUAAAAAAGAUUGCGACCUCGAUGUUGAAUUAAAGGUUAAUUUUAGGUGUAGAAGUUUAAAAUUUU
Molecule: ribosomal RNA, 459 nt
Filed under: Sinochauliodes squalidus
Lineage: Eukaryota; Metazoa; Arthropoda; Insecta; Megaloptera; Corydalidae
Description: partial large subunit ribosomal RNA
Rfam family: Archaeal large subunit ribosomal RNA (bases 1-161)
Source: RNAcentral